RNAcentral lists this long non-coding RNA (201 nucleotides) under Coturnix japonica (Japanese quail). RNAcentral describes it as "lncRNA (ENSCJPG00005003326.1)". Lineage: Eukaryota; Metazoa; Chordata; Aves; Galliformes; Phasianidae. The record is from RNAcentral.
GAAUGACACUUGCUAAUUUGAAUUUCAGAACACACCUAAACCGCAUUCUGAUCUCCAGAUGCCACAUAUGAGUGUCCAGAGGCUGCAUCAGUGAAAAAGAAAGAAUUUAUCAUACUUAAAGGCUGAUCAUGCAGCAGAAUUACUUCGGACAGGCAUCUGAACCAAGAAAGGUAGGAGGAUGUGGAAAGAAUACCACCUGGG